UACGAAGGGGGGCUAGCGUUGUUCGGAAUCACUGGGCGUAAAGCGCACGUAGGCGGAUCUUUUAAGUCAGGGGUGAAAUCCCGAGGCUCAACCUCGGAACUGCCUUUGAUACUGGGGAUCUCGAGUCCGGGAGAGGUGAGUGGAACUGCGAGUGUAGAGGUGAAAUUCGUAGAUAUUCGCAAGAACACCAGUGGCGAAGGCGGCUCACUGGCCCGGAACUGACGCUGAGGUGCGAAAGCGUGGGGAGCAAACAGG
RNAcentral lists this ribosomal RNA (255 nucleotides) under uncultured bacterium. RNAcentral describes it as "partial 16S ribosomal RNA". It matches the Rfam family "Bacterial small subunit ribosomal RNA", at positions 524 to 776 of the family's 1533-position model. The record is from RNAcentral.